Molecule: ribosomal RNA, 456 nt
Filed under: uncultured bacterium
Lineage: Bacteria
Description: bacterial SSU rRNA
Rfam family: Bacterial small subunit ribosomal RNA
Source: RNAcentral
GGCGGCGUGCUUAACACAUGCAAGUCGAACGGUGACCCAGGGCUUGCCCUGGUGAUCAGUGGCGAACGGGUGAGUAACACGUGGGCAACCUGCCCCUGACUUCGGGAUAACUCCUCGAAAGAGGAGCUAAUACCGGAUACGACCACUUCGGACAUCCGAUGGUGGUGGAAAGUUUUUCGGUCAGGGAUGGGCCCGCGGCCUAUCAGCUAGUUGGUGGAGUAAUGGCCUACCAAGGCGACGACGGGUAGCCGGCCUGAGAGGGCGACCGGCCACACUGGGACUGAGACACGGCCCAGACUCCUACGGGAGGCAGCAGUGGGGAAUAUUGCGCAAUGGGCGAAAGCCUGACGCAGCGACGCCGCGUGAGGGAUGAAGGCCUUCGGGUUGUAAACCUCUUUCAGCAGGGACGAAGCGAAAGUGACGGUACCUGCAGAAGAAGCACCGGCUAACUACGUG